CUCUAGCCCCGAUGGGAGGGAAUAUCCUUUUUUGUUCCGAUUUUUUUCGGGACAAAAAAGAUAGGAAGGACAGCGGGAACCCAU
RNAcentral lists this small RNA (84 nucleotides) under Flavobacterium sp. 9R. RNAcentral describes it as "Flavo-1". It matches the Rfam family "Flavo-1 RNA". Lineage: Bacteria; Pseudomonadati; Bacteroidota; Flavobacteriia; Flavobacteriales; Flavobacteriaceae. The record is from RNAcentral.